CCCAGCCUCAGGCAGGCUGCCCUGCCCCUUUUGCAGCAGCUGCAGGCAUGGCUGGGGGAGCCCAGGGGGCAGCGACUGGUGGUCCUGCACCUGGAGGAAGUGUCGUGGGAGCCAACACCCUUGCUGAAGUUCCAGGAGCCCCUACCUGGAGAAGCCAGCCCCCUGGAGCUGGCGCUGUUGGUGUUGUAUCCAGGGCCCGGCCCAGAGGUCACUGUCACCGGGGCUGGGCUGCCCGGCGCCCAGAGCCUCUGCCCGACCAGGGACUCUGGCUUCCUGGCGUUGGCGGUCGACCACCCAGAGAGGGCCUGGCGUGGCUCUGGGCUUGCUCUGACCCUGCGACGCCGCGGAAAUGGUAGCCCCCUCCCCCAGACUGGAGCCGGGCUGGGGCGGCUGCCCUCGG
This 400-nucleotide long non-coding RNA is filed under the name Sus scrofa (pig). RNAcentral's name for it is "lncRNA (ENSSSCG00005020561.1)". Lineage: Eukaryota; Metazoa; Chordata; Mammalia; Artiodactyla; Suidae. The record is from RNAcentral.